Molecule: ribosomal RNA, 301 nt
Filed under: uncultured Syntrophus sp.
Lineage: Bacteria; Pseudomonadati; Thermodesulfobacteriota; Syntrophia; Syntrophales; Syntrophaceae
Description: bacterial SSU rRNA
Rfam family: Bacterial small subunit ribosomal RNA
Source: RNAcentral
UUAAGUCCCGCAACGAGCGCAACCCUUGUCUUUAAUUGCCAUCAUUCAGUUGGGCACUUUAAAGAGACUGCCGGUGUUAAACCGGAGGAAGGUGGGGAUGACGUCAAGUCCUCAUGGCCUUUAUGCCCAGGGCUACACACGUGCUACAAUGGGUGGUACAAAGAGAUGCAAUCUCGCAAGAGCAAGCAAACCUCAAAAAGCCAUCCUCAGUUCGGAUUGGAGUCUGCAACUCGACUCCAUGAAGUCGGAAUCGCUAGUAAUCGCGGAUCAGCACGCCGCGGUGAAUACGUUCCCGGGCCUU